Molecule: ribosomal RNA, 591 nt
Filed under: uncultured bacterium
Lineage: Bacteria
Description: partial 16S ribosomal RNA
Rfam family: Bacterial small subunit ribosomal RNA
Source: RNAcentral
UGGGGAAUUUUGGACAAUGGGCGAAAGCCUGAUCCAGCAAUGCCGCGUGUGUGAAGAAGGCCUUCGGGUUGUAAAGCACUUUUGUCCGGAAAGAAAUCCUUGGCUCUAAUACAGUCGGGGGAUGACGGUACCGGAAGAAUAAGCACCGGCUAACUACGUGCCAGCAGCCGCGGUAAUACGUAGGGUGCAAGCGUUAAUCGGAAUUACUGGGCGUAAAGCGUGCGCAGGCGGUUUGCUAAGACCGAUGUGAGAUCCCCCGGGGCUCAACCUGGGAACUGCAUUGGGUGACUGGCAGGCUAGAGUAUGGCAGAGGGGGGUAGAAUUCCACUGUAGCAGUGAAAUGCGUAGAGAUGUGGAGGAAUACCGAUGGCGAAGGCAGCCCCCUGGGGCCAAAUACUGACGCUCAUGCACGAAAAGCGUGGGGAGCAAAACAGGAUUAGAUACCCUGGUAGUCCACGCCCUAAACGAUGUCAACUAGUUGUUGGGGAUUCAUUUCCUUAGUAACGUAGCUAACGCGUGAAGUUGACCGCCUGGGGAGUACGGUCGCAAGAUUAAAACUUAAAUGAAUUGACGGGGUCAUAGCUGUUUCCU